Molecule: long non-coding RNA, 668 nt
Filed under: Manihot esculenta (cassava)
Lineage: Eukaryota; Viridiplantae; Streptophyta; Magnoliopsida; Malpighiales; Euphorbiaceae
Description: long non-coding RNA (MESC_LNC010530)
Source: RNAcentral
CGGUUUUCCAGUGAAACUGGCACUGGAGUUGAAUGUGGAAGUCUGAGCUGAGUGAACAGGCACAUGAUGCCCAGGAACCAAAGCAGGGAACCCAACAGCAGGGAUUCUGCGAAGUAACCCAAUGCAAUAAAAAUCAAGAUGUGCAAGCAUUGCCCAACAACAUAUAGUUAGUAAUAAACAGAUUCAUCUAACAUGUUAGCCGCUUAUAAAUAGCAGAGUGGUGAAUUCUGAAUCAUGAGGAAAAACGCAAUUUGCCACAAACUGCACUUUACGCUUUAAUGAAAAUUAAAUAGGAUAUCUAAAAUAAAGGGCUUUGUUGCUUAAUAGGUUAAUGAUGUAUAAAAGGUGCUCUAUUUAUUGAACCCUGCUCAGUUUGGUACUCCAAGUUCAGUUGCCAAAAGAACGCGAAUUUGGGAUUAUCCAAUUUACUUGUUAAAAUAACAUCUCUCUCCUUCUAUCUCCUGAUUUGGGAACUAGGAUGAUCAUAUAAGCUACGUGUGGCAAGAUAUUAAAUUUAUGACACAUACCCAACAAGAGCACAGCAGACUCCUGCUUGGCCGAGGUAACACCAAAUGCAUUGCCCUUCUGCAGACUAAGAUGUAGAGCUUGAUUCUCUGCAAUAACACACUGAAGCAACCGCCCCAGUCUUCUGCAUUCCCCUUCCAAAU